GACGAACGCUAGCGGCGUGCCUAAUACAUGCAAGUAGAACGCACAGUUUAUACCGUAGCUUGCUACACCAUAGACUGUGAGUUGCGAACGGGUGAGUAACGCGUAGGUAACCUGCCUGGUAGCGGGGGAUAACUAUUGGAAACGAUAGCUAAUACCGCAUAAUAUUAAUUAUUGCAUGAUAAUUAAUUGAAAGGUGCAAUUGCACCACUACCAGAUGGACCUGCGUUGUAUUAGCUAGUAGGUGAGGUAACGGUUCACCUAGGCGACGAUACAUAGCCGACCUGAGAGGGUGAUCGGCCACACUGGGACUGAGACACGGCCCAGACUCCUACGGGAGGCAGCAGUAGGGAAUCUUCGGCAAUGGACGAAAGUCUGACCGAGCAACGCCGCGUGAGUGAAGAAGGUUUUCGGAUCGUAAAGCUCUGUUGUAAGAGAAGAACGGGUGUGAGAGUGGAAAGUUCACACUGUGACGGUAUCUUACCAGAAAGGGACGGCUAACUACGUG
RNAcentral lists this ribosomal RNA (505 nucleotides) under uncultured bacterium. RNAcentral's name for it is "partial 16S ribosomal RNA". It matches the Rfam family "Bacterial small subunit ribosomal RNA", at positions 28 to 507 of the family's 1533-position model. The record is from RNAcentral.